Molecule: ribosomal RNA, 261 nt
Filed under: uncultured archaeon
Lineage: Archaea
Description: partial 16S ribosomal RNA
Rfam family: Archaeal small subunit ribosomal RNA
Source: RNAcentral
AGGGUGUAAACGCUGCAGACUUGGUGUUGGGAACCCUUCGGGGGUGCUCAGUGCCGGAGAGAAGUUGUUAAGUCUGCUACUUGGGGAGUACGUCCGCAAGGAUGAAACUUAAAGGAAUUGGCGGGGGAGCACCACAACGGGUGGAGCCUGCGGUUUAAUUGGACUCAACGCCGGGAAGCUCACCGGAUAAGACAGCGGAAUGAUUGCCGGGCUGAAGACUCUGCAUGACUAGCUGAGAGGAGGUGCAUGGCGUAGACGUGU